Molecule: long non-coding RNA, 2017 nt
Organism: Homo sapiens (human)
Lineage: Eukaryota; Metazoa; Chordata; Mammalia; Primates; Hominidae
Source: Ensembl
CUCAGCCUCCCGAGUAGCUGGGACUACAGGCGCCCGCCAUCACGCCCGGCUGCUUUUUUUGUUUUAGUAGAGAGGAGGUUUCACCGUGUUAGCCAGGAUGGUCUCAAUCUCCUGACCUCGUGAUCCGCCCGCCUCGGCCUCUCAAAGUGCUGGGAUUACACGCGUGAGCCACCGCGCCUGGCCUGAAGAAAUAGGAAGAAGAAAAGCUUUUUGAAUGAAUCACUUCUCAUCUUCUCCGAAGUUGGAAGCAUCAAGAAUCUAAAUAAGCAUUUAUGAUGGCUGGCAUGAAUAUGCGGAAGAUAGAAUGGGAGUCCUAGUUGACCUUCAUAUAAUUUUUAGAAGAUGGAGCACUUCAACUUCUUCCACUCAUGAAAAGAGAGGUGACAGGUGAAGACAGAACAAGAAAACAAACCAAGAAUUUCCCCUCACCAGCCACCAGCUCUGCCAGCAACUUGAUCUUAGACUUCCCAGCCUCCGUAACGUCUUCCUCCUAAAAACCUGUAACCUCAAUCUAAUCAUGAGAAAAGACAUCAGGCAAAUCCCAACUGAGGGAGAUUUUACAUAGUACCUGAGCAGUACUCCUCAAAACUGUCAAGGUCAUCAAAAACAAAGAAGUAUGAAAAACUGUCACAGCCAAGAGGAACUUAAGGAAACAUAAUAAUUAAAGCCUCUGCUUAUAAUCUGUCAUGGAUUGGAAAACUAGAAAAAACAGUUUACAGAGUAUAACAAACUUUGGAGGAGUUAAUCGACUCUAAGUAAAAGAGUAUCUAGCACGGCUGUGGAACAAAGGAGAGACUCACAAACUGUUGAAAGAAUAAAUGAAUGAAUGAAUUCUGUUCAUGAGCUUUAAUAAAACAGCUCUGAGUAGUAACAGUGGAUCAAAUUUAGGCUUCUUGAUGCAGGCAUGGUGUAGAUUACUACUUCUGUAUUGUCCCAGGAGCUCAGCACAUUCCUGCAGAGAUGAUAGGAGCUCAUCUGAUACUUGUCAGCUUUGAAUAAACUCCAGUCCCCAAGAGAGAGAAUGAGAAUCACCGGAAUACGAAACUUCCCUGUUGGACUUCCCAACAUUCUUGAAUGCACCAAGAUAGCCUCUUGCUGUGAGAUUAAUAAAUGAAUAAAUGCCUCCAUAUUUUUCAAAUCUGUGAAGUUAACAACAUGUAGAUUUUUUUGCAUAUUUAAAAACUGCAACUAAAUCUUAAUGCCUCUGAAGCAGAUGGAAGAAAAUAAUAGGCUUCCAUUAACUGUGUCAAAUUGUAUAGGUCUUGGCCAUCACUGGUCCUGUUGUGAUGAAGGUUUUUUGCCCUUGGAUAUAAUUUAAUUUUCAAUUCUUCUAAUUAUGGUACUUCAGAACAUCAAUAUUUGAGAUGAACUUCUCUAGUGUCAAGGACUGAUUUGAGUUGUGUAAACCCUGAAUAUCUGAGACAGGUCUCGAUUAUUUUAGAAAGUUUAUUUUGCCAAGGUUGAGGAUGUGUGCCUGUGACACGGCCUCGGGAGGUCCUGAGGACAUGUGCUCAAGGUGGUCAGAGCACAGCUUUGCUUUAUACAUUUUAGAGAGACAUGAGACAUCAACCGACAUAUGUAAGAUGAACAUUGGUUCCAUCUGGAAAGGCGAGACAACUUCAAACGAGGAGGGGGCUUCCAGGUCAUAGGUAGAUAAGAGACAAAUGGCUGCAUUCUUUUGAGUUUCUGAUUAGCCUUUCCAAAGGAGGCAAUUAGAGUGAGCAAAAUGAACAAAAUCAAUUAUUUUGAUUCUGAACAAAAUGGGAGGCUGGUUUUCCCUAAGCAGUUCCCAGCUUGACUUUUCCCUUUAGCUGAGGGAUUUGGGGGGCCCAAGAUUUAUUUUUCUUUCACCGUUGUAUCAAACUACACAGGCGGCCUUGGAAACCAUCACAGUUGAGAGUAGGUAACGCCCAUUUGUUGCAUAGUUUUGUGCUCCACACUCUUAUCUACAAAAUUAUGAAUUUUUUUACAUAUAUUAAUUUCAGAAAAACUAAAAAUAAAACAAAGUAGUUUCAAA